UACGGAGGGUGCAAGCGUUAUCCGGAUUUACUGGGUUUAAAGGGUGCGUAGGUGGGUUUGUAAGUCAGCGGUGAAAUCUCUAGGCUUAACCUGGAAAUUGCCAUUGGUACUAUAGAUCUUGAAUUAUCUGGAGGUGAGCGGAAUAUGUCAUGUAGCGGUGAAAUGCUUAGAUAUGACAUAGAACACCAAUUGCGAAGGCAGCUCACUACGGAUAUAUUGACACUGAGGCACGAAAGCGUGGGGAUCAAACAGG
Molecule: ribosomal RNA, 253 nt
Filed under: uncultured bacterium
Lineage: Bacteria
Description: partial 16S ribosomal RNA
Rfam family: Bacterial small subunit ribosomal RNA
Source: RNAcentral